UAGCAAAAUAAAAAUCUAUAUAUUGCCGUAAUGUGGUCGGCAGUUUCUACUCAGAACCGUAAAUUCUGAACUAUGGAUAAUGUAGCAU
This 88-nucleotide non-coding RNA is filed under the name Lactobacillus melliventris. RNAcentral describes it as "Purine riboswitch". It matches the Rfam family "Purine riboswitch aptamer", at positions 10 to 97 of the family's 102-position model. Rfam says of the family: Riboswitches are metabolite binding domains within certain messenger RNAs that serve as precision sensors for their corresponding targets. Allosteric rearrangement of mRNA structure is mediated by ligand binding, and this results in modulation of gene expression. A class of riboswitches that selectively recognises guanine and becomes saturated at concentrations as low as 5 nM. The record is from RNAcentral. RNAcentral also lists the same sequence under 1 other name. Lineage: Bacteria; Bacillati; Bacillota; Bacilli; Lactobacillales; Lactobacillaceae.